AACGAACGCUGGCGGCGUGCUUAACACAUGCAAGUCGAACGGAAAGGCCCUGCUUUUGUGGGGUGCUCGAGUGGCGAACGUGUGAGUAACACGUGAGUAACCUGCCCUUGACUUUGGAAUAACUUCAGGCAACUGGGGCUACUACCGGAUAGGAGCUCCUGCUGCAUGGUGGGGGUUGGACCGUUUCGGCGGUUGGGGAUGUACUCGCGGCUUACCAGCUUGUUGGGGGAGGAGUGGCUUACCCAGGCUUUGACGGAUAGCCGGCCUGAGUGGGGGACCGGCCACAUGGGGACUGAGAUACGGCCCAGACUCCUACGGGAGGCAGCAGGGGGGAGUAUGGCACAAUGAGCGGAAGCCUGAGGAAGCGACGCCGCGUGCGGGAUGACGGCCAUGGGGGGGUGAACCGCUUUCGCCUGUGACGAAGCGUGAGUGACGGUAAUGGGUAAAGAAGCACCGGCUAACUACGUG
This 468-nucleotide ribosomal RNA is filed under the name uncultured bacterium. RNAcentral's name for it is "partial 16S ribosomal RNA". It matches the Rfam family "Bacterial small subunit ribosomal RNA", at positions 28 to 507 of the family's 1533-position model. The record is from RNAcentral.